Molecule: non-coding RNA, 1672 nt
Organism: Callithrix jacchus (white-tufted-ear marmoset)
Lineage: Eukaryota; Metazoa; Chordata; Mammalia; Primates; Cebidae
Source: RefSeq, a predicted model, not a curated record
AUGUCGCGAUCCAACUGGCAGGAGUACAAAUGUGGGCAUCUGGUGUUCGCCAAGAUGAAGGGUUACCCACACUGGCCCGCCCGGAUUGACGAGAUGCCCGAAGAUGCCGUGAAAUCAACAGCCAACAAAUACCAAGUCUUUUUUGGGGGGGCAUUCCUGGGCCCCAAAGACCUCUUCCCUUACGAGAAAUCCAAGGAGAAGUUUGGCAAGCCCAACAAGAGGAAAGUGCGGGGCUGUGGGAGAUCGAGAACAACCCUACCGUCAAGGCUUCUGGCUAUCAGUCCUCCCAGAAAAAGAGCUGCAUGGAAGAGCCUGAACCUGAGCCCGAAGCCACAGAGGGCACGGUGAUAAAAGGAAAAUGCAGAGGGCAGCAGCAACAAGGAAGGGAAGCUGGUCAUCGAUGAGCCAGGAGAAGAACGAGAAAAGAGUGCUGAAGAGGAGAGCGGGGGACCUGCUGGAGGACUCUCCUAAACGUCCCAAGGAGGCAGAAAACCCUGAGGGGGAGGAGAAGAGGCAGCCACCUUGGAGGGUAAGAGGCCCCUUCCUGUGGAGGUGGAAAAAAAUAGCACCCCCUCUGAGCCUGGCUCUUGCCAGGGGCCUCCCCAAGAGGAAGAAGAGGAAGAGGCUGCCAAGGAAGAUGCUGAGGCCCCAGGCAUCAGAGAUCAUGAAAGCCUGUAGCCACCAAUGUUUCAAAAGGAGCCCCCACCCAUUCCUGCUGCUAUCUGGGUGCUAGUGGGGAAACUGGCCUUGGCCUGCAAACUGGGAACCCCUUUUCCACCCCAGCCUGCUCUCCUCUUCCACUUACUUUUCCCACUCCAAGCCCAGGCCAUGGAGAUUGACCUGGAUGGAGCAGGCCACCUGGCCCUUAACUCUAGGUCCCCAUACUCCUGUGAUCUGAGUCAGAGCCAUGUCUUCUGCUCCCUGGGAUGAGAUGAGGCCACUGUAUUCCUUCUGCUUGGAGCUAUUUUCCAAGCUUUUGCUGGGGCCUGGGCCAACUGUUCCACCUCCUGACAACCUUCUUCCACUCUCCUAGGCAUUUUGGACCUCUGGUUGGGAUCAGGGGUAGAAAUGGAAAAGAUGGAGCAUAAACAGCAUGGUAGGCUUAUGGGGCCUGGGAGGGGCAAUCCUCAAAUGGGGGGUGGGGGCAGCACAGGAGCGUGGCAUCUUCCUGAGCUCCUGUCCCCUGCUACACCUGUUUUCCCAGCUGCCUAGAUUCAGGGAAAGUGUGACAGCUUGUAGGGAAGAGACUUCCUUCCAUAAAUCCUUGAUGGUUGACAACACCCAUUUUUCCUUUUGUAGACCCAAGAGUUCUAGGAGUUGUAGUUAAUCAUCAAAAGAUUUUGGGACUUCCAAGUUGUUUGGGCCAAGGACCUGAGACCUGAAGGGCUGACUUUACCCAUUUGGGUGGGAGUGUUGAGCAUUUAUCCCCCUUUAGAUCUCUGAAGCCAAAAAGGGGAUGCUUGGGAAGACCCCUAGCUGCCCUUUUCCCUCUCCACACAGUGCUCAAGGCCAGCUUAUCAUUAUGUAUAUCACCCAGACAUAAAAAAAAAAAAGUUACAUUUUUUAGGAAAUUUUUUAAUAAAAGAAAAUUACAAAAAAAUUUUAAAGACCCCUAACCUUUUUUGUGCUCCCCAUUCUGCUCCUUCCUUCCCCAUCAUUGCCCACAUUUCUG